UACGGAGGGUGCGAGCGUUGUCCGGAAUCACUGGGCGUAAAGGGCGCGUAGGCGGCCUGAUAAGUAGGGGGUGAAAUCCUGCGGCUUAACCGCAGGGCUGCCUUCUAAACUGUCAGGCUGGAGCACAGUAGAGGCAGGUGGAAUUCCCGGUGUAGCGGUGGAAUGCGUAGAGAUCGGGAAGAACAUCAGUGGCGAAGGCGGCCUGCUGGGCUGUUGCUGACGCUGAGGCGCGACAGCGUGGGGGAGCA
RNAcentral lists this ribosomal RNA (248 nucleotides) under uncultured bacterium. RNAcentral's name for it is "partial 16S ribosomal RNA". It matches the Rfam family "Bacterial small subunit ribosomal RNA", at positions 524 to 770 of the family's 1533-position model. The record is from RNAcentral.